RNAcentral lists this long non-coding RNA (636 nucleotides) under Capsicum annuum. RNAcentral's name for it is "long non-coding RNA (CANN_LNC003573)". The record is from RNAcentral. Lineage: Eukaryota; Viridiplantae; Streptophyta; Magnoliopsida; Solanales; Solanaceae.
AAAAUAUUAUCAAAGUUUAAGAGAAAUGACCCAAUAAGGUUCUAUUUAUAAGCUAGAUUAACUUAUUACAAAAAGACCACAAGGCCCUUAAUGAGCCCUUACAAAGGGGCGACCUUGGAGUGUGCUUCUUGGACGAUUUUGGAGUGUAGGAGGCUUCCUUCACACUUCAAGACUUGUUCUCUUGGACGGGCAGCCCCACAAGCUCGGGUCUUCACGUCUUGGCUUUCAUUACGUCCUCGAGUGCUAAGAUGCCUCUUUGACCCGUAUCACAAAUUGGGCAUAAAAUUCAUUUCAAAUAGCUUAAAUAUUUUUUAUUUGACUUAAAUUUUCAAUUACUAGUUAACAAAUACAAAUUCAAUGAACCCCAAACUCUGUCAUGAAGGCAAUCUCUCAUGGCUGAAACACAUUGUCACUAUAACCAGACAAACUACACAAACUCUGAAAUUCUUCAUCCCACUCAACCAAAACAACACCAUUUGGUCCAUUUUUCACUAAUUCUUCUCUAAUACAGUUCUUCUUACUGUUUUCCUAAAUGAACUCAAUGCUAUUUUUGGUGGCCCUUUCCACCUAAUCUCCACUGCAACACCACCACCAGAAGCUACCACCUCAUUCACCAAAUUUUUAAGUUUGCCUACU